Molecule: ribosomal RNA, 253 nt
Filed under: uncultured bacterium
Lineage: Bacteria
Description: partial 16S ribosomal RNA
Rfam family: Bacterial small subunit ribosomal RNA
Source: RNAcentral
UACGGAGGGUGCGAGCGUUGUCCGGAAUCAUUGGGCGUAAAGGGCGCGUAGGCGGCCUGUUAAGUCGGACGUGAAAUCCCCGGGCUCAACCCGGGAACUGCGUCCGAUACUGGCAGGCUUGAAUCCGGGAGAGGGAUGCGGAAUUCCAGGUGUAGCGGUGAAAUGCGUAGAUAUCUGGAGGAACACCGGUGGCGAAGGCGGCAUCCUGGACCGGCAUUGACGCUGAGGCGCGAAAGCCAGGGGAGCAAACGGG